GUGGGGAAUUUUGCGCAAUGGGGGAAACCCUGACGCAGCAACGCCGCGUGAGUGAUGAAGGCCUUCGGGUCGUAAAGCUCUGUCAGAGGGGAAGAAGUGUGGGGUGGCUAAUAUCCAUUUCACUUGACGGUACCUUCAAAGGAAGCACCGGCUAACUCCGUGCCAGCAGCCGCGGUAAUACGGAGGGUGCGAGCGUUGUUCGGAAUUAUUGGGCGUAAAGCGCGUGUAGGCGGUUUUUUAAGUCUGAUGUGAAAGCCCUGGGCUCAACCCGGGAAGUGCAUUGGAAACUGGGAGACUUGAAUACGGGAGAGGGCAGUGGAAUUUCUGGUGUAGGAGUGAAAUCCGUAGAUAUCAGGAGGAACACCGGUGGCGAAGGCGGCUGCCUGGACCGAUAUUGACGCUGAGACGCGAAAGCGUGGGGAGCAAACAGGAUUAGAAACCCGAGUAGUCC
Molecule: ribosomal RNA, 451 nt
Filed under: uncultured bacterium
Lineage: Bacteria
Description: partial 16S ribosomal RNA
Rfam family: Bacterial small subunit ribosomal RNA
Source: RNAcentral